UUCUGUUCAUGAUUUAACUAGAUUGUAUGGUGGUUUCAUAAUUUUUUCUUUUAUAUUUAUGUGUUCGUCACAAUAAUUGAAAGUGACUUAGACUGCAUUCUACGUAAACAUUUUAAUAUAUUUUAAAAUCAAUUGUUUUAUUUCUAUUUAGUAGUUAGAACUCAUCCAGUAAAUUCCAUCUGGAGUAGCUGAGGAGAGCAGAGUCAGGUGUGGAGUGGUUCGGCGCUGGAGGUAGUGGAGUACAUUUUCGACUGAAUGUACCUUAAAAGCAAGAUGGAUGGGGCAAAAGGGAACACGUGCAAUGGCUGUUCAAUCUUUUUUCACUCCUCUUCAAAAAGAGCAAGAAGCUCCAGCUUCCUGUGGUUAAGAGGCGAAGUUGCUUUCCCUUUCCCCUGUGGAGGUGAUGGGGCCCGAGGAGUGUCACUCUGUAGUCAGCUGUGCCUCCCCCACUAUCAUGCUAAUGAGGGCUGGGUUAUGGACUAGUCUAUGCAAACAAUGACCCAGGACAUCAGCCUGGAAGGGGCCUCUGUUCACAUGGUGCAGGGACAGAUGUUUGGGCCUUUGAAGAGAUGUACCCAGGGGCCUCACAGUCCAGCCUUGUCUGCACCAACUACAGG
Long non-coding RNA from Carassius auratus (goldfish), 617 nucleotides. RefSeq lists it as uncharacterized. The record is from RefSeq and is a predicted model, not a curated record. Lineage: Eukaryota; Metazoa; Chordata; Actinopteri; Cypriniformes; Cyprinidae. The transcript is spliced from 3 exons.